This 3463-nucleotide long non-coding RNA is filed under the name Mus musculus (house mouse). RNAcentral describes it as "long non-coding RNA chr4:40948553-40952016". The record is from RNAcentral. Lineage: Eukaryota; Metazoa; Chordata; Mammalia; Rodentia; Muridae.
CGCUUCCGUUUCUGGUUUUCCUCCAGUGUUUGGGUUUCCUCGCAGCCGGCCAAGAUGAACCGAUUCUUCGGAAAAGCGAAACCCAAGGCUCCGCCACCUAGCUUGACGGACUGCAUUGGGACGGUGGGCAUUUGACUUUGCAUACCUCUGACACUCCGACCCGUCCAUCCCGAAUUCGUACUCCACCCCAUUCCUGGUUCGGGCCCAUUAAACCUGAGUCUUCUUCAUCCCCACCCCUUUCAUCCCUGUUUUCCAGGUCAUUCCUGACCCCAGAGACCAGACAGUCUAAUCUCAUCAUUCUUUCGCCCUUACUGCACUUAGCUCUUUCCGAUGCCCACUGUGCCCCACCCCUUCUUCCUCGCUUUGGUUCCCACAUUCCAACCUACGUACCCUAUGUCACUACACCCCACUUUGUCUAACCUGGCCUUUUAAAAACCCUUUUUCACUCUUCUCCCCUUACCCAUGUCAGGGUUAACAUAUCUGUACCUUAGUCCUGGGUCUGAGUAGCAUAGAAUUCUGAAUCUUGGCCCUUCCAGAUUAAACCUGAUCUCGGAAAUGGUUUUAGAUCUCAUCUUAGCCUGUGUUGAUUGGUUCAUUCCACGCACGUUCAUGCAGAGUCCCAAACUGACUAUUCUCCUACUUGGGAAAUCUCAGCCAGCGGAGAGAAUCCCAAAUCGUUUUCCUCAAGAGAGGGCUGCUAUAUCAGAAUCUAGGAGGUGGGAGAGAGUUUAUGAAAGCCCUCCAAUGGUUCGGGCUGGAAUUCCCCACCCUUAAGAAAAACCCUAUUUUCUGCCCUUUGCUAUAUUGUUCCUUUUUUCUUUUGCAUAUCCCUCUCUUUCUGCCCCUUUCCAUGUAAACAUAUUACAAUAAUUACCACUGCAUGUGAUGUUUUCUUCCAAGGUGGAUAGCAGGGCAGAAUCCAUUGACAAAAAGAUUUCCCGGCUGGAUGCUGAACUAGUGAAAUAUAAGGAUCAAAUCAAGAAGAUGAGAGAGGGUCCUGCUAAGGUAAGGCUGGUGACAACUGUUGUAGGAAGUACUGUGAAGGGACUGACUGGUGAAGGAUACAAGAAAAAUACACGAAAUCUGGUAAAGAGAAGCUACUUGUGAGGACCUGUUCUUCAGGGAACAGAAGCUACAGCCAUAUACAAGAGGGAGGCUGGGUUUUAAUGUGGUAGGUAGAAGAUGCUGAUGACAUGUAAUGGGAAUUGGCAUGCUCUGCUGAGAAGGUCUGACUCUGAAGAGGAGAGCUGGUUGUGCUCAGAAUCCGGGUGUUGUCUGGCUACUCAGGUUAGACUAGAUAUGGCGUGUAAGAUCAGUGUUCUGAUACUAACACUACUUAAUAGGCUAUGGGUGUAUAGGUAUCUUUUUUUUUCAUAACUUUAUAACUUUUUAACAGUAUGAACCAGGAUAUCACUCAGCUUCAAUUUUCUCAUCUGUUAAAUGAAGAUAAUAUAUACUAAUGUGUGAGGAUUAAAUAACAAGUCACCUACAUGGCAUUAUAUCUAGAAUAUCGUAGUAGUUGAUGAAUUUGCGUGAAGAACCAACAGAGGGAUCAAAGGUUGAUGUAGAGGUUCCCAGAUUCUGAAAGCGGGAGGCUGGUGGGCUGUUGUAAAUGGCUUCUAACAUGAGGACAUGAUAGCGGAUGAACGUGUUGUAUUUAAAUGGAAAGCAACUGGAUAUACACAGUGCGCUCUGUUGGGGCUGGAAGUGGAAGUACAAUGCCUAGGGAGAGGAAGAGGAAUUGAAGAUACAGAGCAUGGGUUGCAAAGGGCGCUAAGAUGUACCAGCUGGGCAUUAGAAUUAUCUGUGCUCGAAGCUUGAAGAGGAAGAGUAGAGUCAAGGAGCCUCCACAUCUGCCAUCUUGCAGAAGAAACAUGUAGGUGCAGGAGUGUGAGCAUAGGGGAGACUUCUUGUGCCAUCUGCGUUCCCUUCUUUUAAUUAAGUCUGUUUUUCUCCUCAGAACAUGGUCAAACAGAAAGCCCUGAGAGUUUUAAAGCAAAAGCGGAUGUAAGUCAUAUGCUUCAUCUCCCUCCUAAGAAAUCAGAAAGUGAAGAGGCCUUCCAUUCCUUCCGGCUUUCAUUUCUUCUCAGUAGUCUUGAUUUCAUUACAAAUGUGCAAAAGCUUCCAAUGUUCCGAGUUACUACCUAAGCUUCAGCAGCCACGUGGGAUCACUUUGGCUGGCAAGGUCGAGAUGGUUUGGGUCUCCUGUGGUUGAGUUAGGAUGAGUGUUUCGGUUUUGUUUGUAAAGUUAGGAGUGCUAAAUAUUCAUUCUCUCUCACCAGAAUAAAUGUGAAGGUUCACAAUUUAUUUUCAAUUACUAUGUCCCAGUGUUUGUGCGAAACCCCAGUUUAUCUGUGGUGCUCACCCAUGUGGUCUGCUCAGCCUAUGAGAUCAUCCAUGGAGUUGUAGACUCGAGGCAUAAUCAGCUUGUAGGAAACCAGGAAAAGUGUGAUGGCUUUGUUUCAAUUUUAAAAUGACUUUGUAACAGUCAGAUGCUGUCUUCCAUUUUUAAAAAAUACAUUAAAAUCACAUUGGAAAAAAAAACCUAAUAAUACCUAGAAUGGCCAGCAUGUAUUACAACUGUUGCCUUCUUGGUGGCAAUUGGUUUUAAAGUAUUUUGGUUUUCUUGUGGAAGGAAUUUGGCUUUGAUGGCCUGGACCUGUUAUCCUAGCAUUUGGGAGGUAGAGGACCCGGAACCUAUGAGCAUUGACUACAUAGAGAAAUCAAGACUAGCCUUGGCUACAUAAGACCCUGUCUCAAAUAAAUAAAUAAACCAAGCAGGGUGGCACACAACCUGUAGACCUAGCACUUGGUAUAUGGAGGCAAGAACAUCAGGGGUUCAAAGCUACCCUGGGCUAGUAAAUUCUAGAGUAACUUGGGCUACAUGAAUCCCUGCCUCAAAAAUAAAUAAAUAAAUGGAAUGUAGAUUUAUUGCAGAAACUUGGAACAUAUAUCAAACAGAGGUAAAGAAAAUUUAUCUAGAUUCUUAGGAAACUGAAAUUAUGUGUCUUUUAUAUAAGCUGUCGUCUUGCCCCUUCUUGUUUCUGCUUUUAGAGACAAGGUUCUCUGUGUACUCCACGCUGGCCUCAAGCUCUAGUCCCCUGGCUCAGUCCCCCAGUUGCUAGGAUUAUAACCUUGUGCCACGAUGCCUAACUGAAUAGAAUCAUUUGCCGAUUUCCUGGAUCAUGAAUUACCUAUUUUUCUUCUGCUAAUUAGAUGACUUCUGUGGUAUAUAACGAUCGUGGUGACAUAAAUCUUUGAUAUUAUAUAACUCGGUAGAAAACAUUAUUUUAAAGAGUAUUUCAAGUAUCAGACAUUAUAUUAAGUCUGAUGGAUAGCCUAAAUUAUGAAUAUAAUUUUGAGUCUGAAAAACAUUUAGCUAUACAUAUGAAGAAUCUUAAAAAAUAGUCUUAGCCUUUGCCCCAAGAGUUCCACCUCUGAGAAUUCAUCUUGGGAAAUAACU